CGAGCGGUAGAGAGAAGCUUGCUUCUCUUGAGAGCGGCGGACGGGUGAGUAAAGCCUAGGAAUCUGCCUGGUAGUGGGGGAUAACGUUCGGAAACGGACGCUAAUACCGCAUACGUCCUACGGGAGAAAGCAGGGGACCUUCGGGCCUUGCGCUAUCAGAUGAGCCUAGGUCGGAUUAGCUAGUUGGUGAGGUAAUGGCUCACCAAGGCGACGAUCCGUAACUGGUCUGAGAGGAUGAUCAGUCACACUGGAACUGAGACACGGUCCAGACUCCUACGGGAGGCAGCAGUGGGGAAUAUUGGACAAUGGGCGAAAGCCUGAUCCAGCCAUGCCGCGUGUGUGAAGAAGGUCUUCGGAUUGUAAAGCACUUUAAGUUGGGAGGAAGGGCAGUUACCUAAUACGUGAUUGUUUUGACGUUACCGACAGAAUAAGCACCGGCUAACUCUGUGCCAGCAGCCGCGGUAAUACAGAGGGUGCAAGCGUUAAUCGGAAUUACUGGGCGUAAAGCGCGCGUAGGUGGUUUGUUAAGUUGGAUGUGAAAUCCCCGGGCUCAACCUGGGAACUGCAUUCAAAACUGACUGACUAGAGUGUGGUAGAGGGUGGUGGAAUUUCCUGUGUAGCGGUGAAAUGCGUAGAUAUAGGAAGGAACACCAGUGGCGAAGG
Molecule: ribosomal RNA, 663 nt
Filed under: Pseudomonas sp.
Lineage: Bacteria; Pseudomonadati; Pseudomonadota; Gammaproteobacteria; Pseudomonadales; Pseudomonadaceae
Description: bacterial SSU rRNA
Rfam family: Bacterial small subunit ribosomal RNA
Source: RNAcentral